UACGAAGGGGGCUAGCGUUGCUCGGAAUCACUGGGCGUAAAGGGUGCGUAGGCGGGUCUUUAAGUCAGGGGUGAAAUCCUGGAGCUCAACUCCAGAACUGCCUUUGAUACUGAAGAUCUUGAGUUCGGGAGAGGUGAGUGGAACUGCGAGUGUAGAGGUGAAAUUCGUAGAUAUUCGCAAGAACACCAGUGGCGAAGGCGGCUCUCUGGGACGGUACUGACGCUGAGACGCGAAAGCGUGGGGAGCGAACGAGG
This 254-nucleotide ribosomal RNA is filed under the name uncultured bacterium. RNAcentral describes it as "partial 16S ribosomal RNA". It matches the Rfam family "Bacterial small subunit ribosomal RNA", at positions 524 to 777 of the family's 1533-position model. The record is from RNAcentral.